This is a long non-coding RNA of Rhincodon typus (whale shark), 1179 nucleotides long. RefSeq lists it as uncharacterized. Lineage: Eukaryota; Metazoa; Chordata; Chondrichthyes; Orectolobiformes; Rhincodontidae. The transcript is spliced from 3 exons. The record is from RefSeq and is a predicted model, not a curated record.
UGGCGGGUAUUAACAUGAACUUCUUCCCGGGAACACGAAUUCGGGACUUACAGUUUGUUAAUAGCGGUUUGACGUAUUUGAUAAGUGUUUGUAAACACUGCCUGUCCUCACCAUCCGCCGGCUCCAGCACUUCCUCCGCGGUCUCGCAUCCUCACCGCCUGCAGAUGAGAAAAAAACAGCAUCUCUGCCCAGCGUCAUAUCUAUCACUGCGCAUGCUUGAGACAUUGGAUGGGACUGCGCCUGCGCACCACUCUUUCCGCGGCCUGAAUCAGGGACAUUCACCAUCGCGCGGCAUGGUGGGGACCUGAAGAUUUUUGAAAACUGGGAUUUUUUUCUUACAACGAUUCUUGUGCUAUCUGUCCAGCUUCAACAUCCAACAGGAGAAUUUAAAUUUGAAAACAAAAAAAUUGUUUCAGAAAAUCAUGGAAUGAUCACAGAACAGAAGGACACCAUUUCAUACAUCAUCAGAGCAAAUCGGCGAGUUUCACUCCCCUCCCUUUCAUUGUAACCAAAGGAGGUUUCUCCCCCCACUGGACCUAAUUGUUGGGAAUGAGCAGGGCGAAGUGUCACUUAAGUAUUUAAGGGAUGAUAAUUAUUGUGUCAGAAGGUUUAGGCUGAUAAUGAAAAUGAUACUGAACAAUCCAGAGUAAAUAAUUAACUCAGGAAAGCCAACUUCAUCUUCUCAGUUGAAGGGUCAAUAAUAAGGGGGCAUAACUUUAAUGUGAAAGGCUUAGAGGGGAUUUGAGGGGAAAAUAAUUCAUCCAGAGGGUGGUGGGGGUCUGUAACACACUUCAGGUGCCUAUCCAGUUCUCUUGUGAAAGCAUUAGAUGAAUUAGUUUGAGUUGGAACAGAGAUGAAGGAGGAGUGCUGGGUUUAAUCCUCAAGCCUUUGGAACACAGUCAAGUCCAGGAAUUCCUAAUAUUUAAUUGUCAAAGGAUGGUAGGUAUUCAGGGACAUCAGGUUGUGAAAUGGACACUGUGCAUUCAAUCUAAUAAGAUGCUAUGUUAGGAACAAGCAUUUCUGUAGAUGCCUUUAAUUCAUUUUUAUAUGUAUGGUCAUGUAUACAAAUGUGUGUGUGCUUUGAAAAUUGUUCUUGAGAUUUGAUCAUCACCAACAUGAUCAGCAGAUUAUAUUGUCACCCCCUAAUUUCCUGUGGACCUUCUUGAAUGCUGCAGUCCA